GAUGAACGCUAGCUCCAGGCUUAACACAUGCAAGUCGAGGGGAAACGGCAUUGAGUGCUUGCACUCUUUGGACGUCGACCGGCGCACGGGUGAGUAACGCGUAUCCAACCUUCCCAUUACUGUGGGAUAACCUGCCGAAAGGCAGACUAAUACCGCAUAGUCUUCGAUGACGGCAUCAGAUUUGAAGUAAAGAUUUAUCGGUAAUGGAUGGGGAUGCGUCUGAUUAGCUUGUUGGCGGGGUAACGGCCCACCAAGGCUACGAUCAGUAGGGGUUCUGAGAGGAAGGUCCCCCACAUUGGAACUGAGACACGGUCCAAACUCCUACGGGAGGCAGCAGUGAGGAAUAUUGGUCAAUGGACGGAAGUCUGAACCAGCCAAGUAGCGUGCAGGAUGACGGCCCUAUGGGUUGUAAACUGCUUUUGUAUGGGGAUAAAGUUAGGGACGUGUCCCUAUUUGCAGGUACCAUACGAAUAAGGACCGGCUAAGUCCGUG
Molecule: ribosomal RNA, 492 nt
Filed under: uncultured bacterium
Lineage: Bacteria
Description: partial 16S ribosomal RNA
Rfam family: Bacterial small subunit ribosomal RNA
Source: RNAcentral